AUUAGUGAGCUUGUUGGUAGAUCUUGAAAGUAAAGUAGCUCAUUCAUGCAUGAACAACUUUGAAAAUUAUUACUCAGAUGUUGAAUACCCCAUUGAAAAAUAAGACUAAAAAACCUGACUCCACGAGGAACCCAAAAGGUUUGAUUUAUGAUGAGGCAAACUCGAACAAAGCUCAAACUAAUAAUAAAUGCACAAAAUAAUAAAUGAACUCAGCUUGAGUUUUGAACUGAGAUCAACCCUAAUAUUAAGUCAAACACAGUGCGGAAAUAUACGUGGAAUGGAGUCCGACUUCAUUCCCAGAUAGUCGCUAAGCAAAGUUUCCCAUAUAUAUGCCAACAAGAGAAACAAGUCCAGCUUAAUCAUAAUACUACUAACUAGC
RNAcentral lists this long non-coding RNA (379 nucleotides) under Musa acuminata (dwarf banana). Its description in RNAcentral is "long non-coding RNA (MACU_LNC010989)". Lineage: Eukaryota; Viridiplantae; Streptophyta; Magnoliopsida; Zingiberales; Musaceae. The record is from RNAcentral.